UACGUAUGGUGCAAGCGUUAUCCGGAUUUACUGGGUGUAAAGGGUGCGUAGGUGGCAUGGUAAGUCAGAAGUGAAAACUAGGGGCUCAACCCCUAGACUGCUUUUGAAACUAUCAGGCUAGAGUACAGGAGAGGCAAGUGGAAUUCCUAGUGUAGCGGUGAAAUGCGUAGAUAUUAGGAGGAACACCAGUGGCGAAGGCGGCUUGCUGGACAAUCACUGACACUGAGGCUCGAAAGCGUGGGGAGCAAACAGG
This 253-nucleotide ribosomal RNA is filed under the name uncultured bacterium. RNAcentral's name for it is "partial 16S ribosomal RNA". It matches the Rfam family "Bacterial small subunit ribosomal RNA", at positions 524 to 776 of the family's 1533-position model. The record is from RNAcentral.